ACAUCUGUUGCUUAAUUGGAUAGAGCGUUAGAUUACGAAUCUAAAGGUUGAAAGUUCGAGUCUUUCCAGAUGUA
RNAcentral lists this transfer RNA (74 nucleotides) under Pyropia pulchra. Its description in RNAcentral is "tRNA-Arg". It matches the Rfam family "tRNA". From Rfam's summary of the family: Transfer RNA (tRNA) molecules are approximately 80 nucleotides in length. Their secondary structure includes four short double-helical elements and three loops (D, anti-codon, and T loops). The record is from RNAcentral. Lineage: Eukaryota; Rhodophyta; Bangiophyceae; Bangiales; Bangiaceae.